RNAcentral lists this ribosomal RNA (1679 nucleotides) under Gallorhynchus sp. n. 1 TJ-2014. Its description in RNAcentral is "eukaryotic LSU rRNA". It matches the Rfam family "Eukaryotic large subunit ribosomal RNA", at positions 31 to 1498 of the family's 3401-position model. The record is from RNAcentral. Lineage: Eukaryota; Metazoa; Platyhelminthes; Rhabdocoela; Polycystididae.
AACUUAAGCAUAUCAAUAAGCGGAGGAAAAGAAACUAACAAGGAUUCCCCUAGUAGCGGCGAGCGAACAGGGAUUAGCCCAAAACCGAAUCCUGCAGUUCACGCUGUCUGGAAAUGUGGUUUUUGGUUCAACAUCUACAGUUUGCUGGAGGUGCCUUAAGUCCACGUGAUUGUGGCUUCAAGUCCACAGAGGGUGUAAGACCCGUACAGGCAAUACAGCAUACAUAGAUGUUGUUCCUCGAGUAGGGUUGUUUGGGAAUGCAGCCCGAAUCGGGUGGUAAACUCCAUCCAAGGCUAAAUACAACACGAGUCCGAUAGUAAACAAGUACCAUGAGGGAAAGUUGAAAAGAACUUUGAAGAGAGAGUUCAAUAGUACGUGAAACCGCAUAAUGAGAAACGGGCAGGGCCGAAGGGCGGAUUGUAUAUUUGUACUACGUUCAAGAUGUGCGUUGGUGUCUGGGAUGGGCUUAAACCACUCAGUCUGAUGCAUUUUCUAGUGCGCUGUGCUCUUGUGCUUUCCGGACACCAUGAUCAGUAGUAACGCUGGCUUGUCAUGUUUGGUGAGGUAACUCGGGACUUAUCUCGAGUUUUAUAUACCAGAUGUGCAAUGCCAGCUGGAUACUGUUUUGCUGUGCAGUUCAUUGCGACGUACAUGUUAGAUAUGGUCUGAAGGUGUGGCGCUGGCUCAUUUAGAGACUUUGCUAUGUCCGGAUGCCUAUGUUUAGCCUCUGUAUGGUGCACUAGUAAUCCAUGGUGCAGUUGUAGGCAUCCUGCCUGACCCGUCUUGAAACACGGACCAAGGAGUUUAACAUGUGCGCGAGUCAUUGGGUCGUACGAAACCUAAAGGCGAAGUGAAAGUAAAGGCGUGUACUCUACAGGCCUAGGUAGGAUCCCGGUUAUAAUGUCUCGUACAUGGGCUGGGCGCACUACCAGCUCGUCCCAUGCUUUAUGAAGUGGGGCGACGCAAUAGCGCACAUGUUAAGACCCGAAAGAUGGUGAACUAUGCUUGUGUAGGUCGAAGCCAGAGGAAACUCUGGUGGAAGACCGUAGCGAUUCUGACGUGCAAAUCGAUCGUCAAACAUGAGUAUAGGGGCGAAAGACUAAUCGAACCAUCUAGUAGCUGGUUCCCUCCGAAGUUUCCCUCAGGAUAGCUGGCACUCGGGAAACAAACAGUUUUAUCCGGUAAAGCGAAUGAUUAGCAGUAUUGGGGACGACAUGUCCUCAACUGAUUCUCAAACUUUAAAUGGGUGAGAUGCUCAACUCUCUUAUUUGGAGUUGGGCUAACUGAAUGUGAGUGCCUAGUGGGCCAUUUUUGGUAAGCAGAACUGGCGCUGUGGGAUGAACUAAACGUCUGGAUAAGGAGCCAAACCCAACGCUCAUGAGAUACCACAAAAGGUGUUGGUUGAUAUUGACAGCAGGACGGUGGCCAUGGAAGUUGGAAUCCGCUAAGGAGUGUGUAACAACUCACCUGCCGAAUCAACCAGCCCUGAAAAUGGAUGGCGCUUGAGCGUUGGUCCUAUACCAGACCGUUACCGCGAACUGCAAAGUAUGCGGUAACGAGUAGGAGGGGCGCCGUGGUAAGCGUUGAAGCCCUGUGCCGUGAGGUUGGGUGGAGCUGCCACGGGUGCAGAUCUUGGUGUAGUAGCAAAUAUUCAAGUGAGAACCUUGAAGACUGAAGUG